Molecule: RNA transcript, 1313 nt
Organism: Sapajus apella (tufted capuchin)
Lineage: Eukaryota; Metazoa; Chordata; Mammalia; Primates; Cebidae
Gene name: keratin, type II cytoskeletal 8 pseudogene
Exons: 1
Source: RefSeq, a predicted model, not a curated record
AUGUCCCUUAGGGUGACCCAGAAGUCCUACAAGGUGUCCACCUCUGGCCCCCAGGCCUUCAGCAGCUUCUCCCACAAGAGUGGGCUGGGUGCCUGCAUUAACUCCUCGAGCUUCUCCUAAGUGGGCAGCAGCAGCUUCUGGGCUGGCCUAGGCAGAGGCCAUGGUGGGACCAGUAGCAUGGGAGGCAUCACUGCCGUCAUGGUCAACCAGAGCCUGCUGAGCCCCCUUAACCUUGAAGUGGACCCCAACAUCCAGGCCAUGUGCACCCAGGAGAAGGAUCGUAUCAAGACCUUCAACAACAAGUUUGCCUCCUUCAUCGACAAGGUAGGGUUCCUGAAGCAGCAGCACAAGAUGCUGGAGACCAAGUGGAGCCUCCUGCAGCAGCAGCAGAUGGCUCCGAGCAACAUGGACAACAUUUUCGAGAGCUACAGCAACAACCUUAGGCGGCAGCUGGAGACUCUGGACCAAAAGAAGCUGAAACUGGAGGUGGAGCUUUGUAACAUGCAGGGGCUGGUGGGAGACUUCAAGAACAAGUACAGGAUGAGAUCAAUAAGCCAGUGGAGAUGGAGUAUGCAUUUGUCCUCAUCAAAAAGGAUGUGGAUGAAGCUUACAUGAACAAGGUAGAGCUGGAGUCUCGCCUGGAAGGGCUGACUGACGAGAUCAACUUCCUCAGGCAGCUGUAGGAAGAGGAGACCCUGGAGCUGCAGUCCCAGAUCUCAGACACCGCUCCCUGGACAUGGACAACAUCACCGCUGAGAUCAAGGAGCAGUACGAGGAGAUCGCCAACCGCAGCCGCGCUGACGCAGAGAGCAUGCAACAGAUAAGUAUGAGGAGCUGCAGACGCUGGCUGGGAAGCACGGGGAUGACCUGCGGCUACAAAGACUGAGAUGUCCGAGGUGAACCGCAACAUCCGCCGGCUCCAGGCUGAGAUUGAGGGCCUCAAAGGCUAAAGGGCUUCCCUGGAGGCCGGCAUCGCAGAUGCCGAGCAGCAUGGGGAGCUGGAGGUUAAGGAUGCCAACGCCAAGCUGUCUGAGCUGGAGGCUGCCCUGCAGCAGGCCAAGCAGGCCAUGGCGCGGCAGCUGCGUGAGUACCAGGAGCUGAUGAACGUCAAGCUGGCCCUGAUCAUCGAGAUCGCCACCUACAGGAAGCUGCUGGAGGGUGAGGAGAGCCGGCUGCAGUCUGGGAUGCAGAACAUGAGUAUCCGUACGAAGACCACCAGCCGCUAUUCCGCUGGUCUGAGCUCGGCCUAUGGGGGCCUCACAAGCCCCGGCCUCUGCUAUGACCUGUGCUCCAGCUUUGGCUCUGGUUCUUAA